This 433-nucleotide ribosomal RNA is filed under the name uncultured bacterium. Its description in RNAcentral is "partial 16S ribosomal RNA". It matches the Rfam family "Bacterial small subunit ribosomal RNA", at positions 29 to 507 of the family's 1533-position model. The record is from RNAcentral.
AACGAACGCUGGCGGCAUGCCUAACACAUGCAAGUCGAACGAGACCUUCGGGUCUAGUGGCGCACGGGUGCGUAACGCGUGGGAACCUGCCCUUAGGGUCGGAAUAACUCCCCGAAAGGGGUGCUAAUACCGGAUAAUGUCUUCGGACCAAAGAUUUAUCGCAUUUGGAUGGGCCCGCGUUGGAUUAGCUAGUUGGUAGGGUAAAAGCCUACCAAGGCGACGAUCCAUAGCUGGUCUGAGAGGAUGAUCAGCCACACUGGGAGUGAGACACGGCCCAGACUCCUACGGGAUGCAGCAGUGGGGAAUAUUGGACAAUGGGCGAAAGCCUGAUCCAGCAAUGCCGCGUGAGUGAUGAAGGCCGUAGGGUUGUAAAGCUCUUUUACCCGGGAUGAUAAUGACAGUACCGGGAGAAUAAGCUCCGGCUAACUCCGUG